GCUACUUACUGGACAACGCGCUGUGGAAUAAGUCGUGGGCUAGCAUUGUCCGUAAGUCAUGGGCGUAAAGGAUCGGUAGGUGGAUACUUAAGUGGGAGGUGAAAGCCCCGGGCUCAACCCGGGAACUGCAUUCCAAACUGGGUAUCUAGAGUGCAGGAGAGGAAAGCGGAAUUCCUAGUGUAGCGGUGAAAUGCGUAGAUAUUAGGAGGAACACCAGUGGCGAAGGCGGCUUUCUGGACUGUAACUGACACUGAGGCAUGAAAGCGUGGGUAGCAAACAGGAUUAGAUACCCCGGUAGUC
RNAcentral lists this ribosomal RNA (300 nucleotides) under uncultured Bacillus sp. RNAcentral describes it as "bacterial SSU rRNA". It matches the Rfam family "Bacterial small subunit ribosomal RNA", at positions 496 to 795 of the family's 1533-position model. The record is from RNAcentral. Lineage: Bacteria; Bacillati; Bacillota; Bacilli; Caryophanales; Bacillaceae.